This 390-nucleotide ribosomal RNA is filed under the name Triticum aestivum (bread wheat). RNAcentral describes it as "partial small subunit ribosomal RNA". The record is from RNAcentral. Lineage: Eukaryota; Viridiplantae; Streptophyta; Magnoliopsida; Poales; Poaceae.
AUGGACAAGUAUCACAGCAACACCCGCUUUGCACCCCUGAGAGACGCUCCAUUUGCUCUCCGUGGUGCCUUUGGUACCUCCAACUCGUCUUUCAACAACAUGGAUGGCCUUAGACACUCCUCAAGCAUUGGGCAAGCAAGGAGCUACACAUCUUCUCCCUUAGGAGCUCUGCGACAGAAGAUUCCUCCAUCUGGAAACCGAUCCCUACAUACAAGUCGUCCCCUGUCUGCUCCUGUUGCGAACCGCCCACUGUCUCCCCAUCUUCCUCUGAAGAAGCCACAGCUGAGCGCUACGUUCUCCAUCUCACACCGUAUAUUUGGCGUCGCUCUGGGUGCUGCCAUCAUAUCCAUUCCUCUUGCUACCAGGUUCAGCGUCAUGUUUGAGGUCUGA